This 266-nucleotide long non-coding RNA is filed under the name Homo sapiens (human). RNAcentral's name for it is "HSALNT0167993". Lineage: Eukaryota; Metazoa; Chordata; Mammalia; Primates; Hominidae. The record is from RNAcentral.
AACCAUUCUCAGGAAAAUUGUAAAAGUAAUCAUUGGACCUACCCAGUCCCCACCCUGCCAGCCUUCAGGAAAAGACUUAGACUGCAAAACUUCAAUUAAUCAGAACAUUCAGGGGCUGUGUCCUGGAAAGGGUUUCAAUAUGAUGCAGAAAUUUGAUGUGUGUUGAAUGUGACCAGAUUCUAGUAGAUGCCCAGAGAGGUUUUAAGUCAUUGAUUACAUACCUGACGUGAACCUGUUAUUGUCAUUACUUUCUUCCUCAGCAAGAG